CAUGCAAGUCGAGCGGAUGACGGGAGCUUGGUCCUUGAUUCAGCGGCGGACGGGUGAGUAAUGCCUAGGAAUCUGCCUGGUAGUGGGGGACAACGUUUCGAAAGGAACGCUAAUACCGCAUACGUCCUACGGGAGAAAGCAGGGGACCUUCGGGCCUUGCGCUAUCAGAUGAGCCUAGGUCGGAUUAGCUAGUUGGUGGGGUAAUGGCUCACCAAGGCGACGAUCCGUAACUGGUCUGAGAGGAUGAUCAGUCACACUGGAACUGAGACACGGUCCAGACUCCUACGGGAGGCAGCAGUGGGGAAUAUUGGACAAUGGGCGAAAGCCUGAUCCAGCCAUGCCGCGUGUGUGAAGAAGGUCUUCGGAUUGUAAAGCACUUUAAGUUGGGAG
RNAcentral lists this ribosomal RNA (390 nucleotides) under uncultured Pseudomonas sp. RNAcentral describes it as "bacterial SSU rRNA". It matches the Rfam family "Bacterial small subunit ribosomal RNA", at positions 54 to 446 of the family's 1533-position model. The record is from RNAcentral. Lineage: Bacteria; Pseudomonadati; Pseudomonadota; Gammaproteobacteria; Pseudomonadales; Pseudomonadaceae.